This 2725-nucleotide long non-coding RNA is filed under the name Homo sapiens (human). Its description in RNAcentral is "HSALNT0306940". Lineage: Eukaryota; Metazoa; Chordata; Mammalia; Primates; Hominidae. The record is from RNAcentral.
AGUGGAUCUCAUAGAAGUACAGAGUGAAAUAUUAGGUUGGUACAAAAGUAAUUGCAGUUUUUGCCAUUUAAAAGUAAUGUUAAAAGUAAUAGUUACCAAUUGGCAAGAAUGUGUGUGUGUGGGUGGGUAGAGGAAUGGAUGGGCAUAAAUUGGUACAAACAUACAGUUAAGUAGAAGGAAUAAGUUCUAAUGUUUGAUAGCAGAGUAGGAUGUCUAUAGUUAGCAGCAGUGUAUUGUAUAUAUAUCAAAAUAACUAGAAGAGAGGGCUAGAAAUGUUCUCAACACAUAAAAAUGACAAAUACUCAAGGUGCUGGACACCCUAAAUACUCUGACUUGAUCAUCACACAUUCUAUGCAUGUAACAAAAUACCACAUGUACUGCAUAAAAGUGUACAAAUAGUAUAUAUUAAUUACAAAAAAAAAUCGUGUGGCUACCAAAACUCAUUAUUUCAGGUGCUAGCAAAUGUAGUCACAACCAAGACUAGGCUUGAACUCUUCCUUUCAGCUUCCUGACAGCCAAGUAACGGAGUGAAAGGUCAGAUAAUUUACUUAGACCUGAGACUGCCAUUAAUAUUGUCAACAAAUUGCUUUGAUCUACAGCUCAUUAGCUUUGGUUGGAAUUGCUAAGCAAAUAAGCCAAAGUGAAAUUUUGUUCUAUCCAAUGGCCUAUCUAGUACCUUAACCCCAGACAACCUUCUUACAUGGUGAUCACAACUAAGCUGGUGAAUGGGCAUAAAUCUUUUAUUGCUACCAGAAAAAAAAAAAAUCAAAGUGCAAGCUCUAUCAAAUGUAAGUGAAUGCCCAUGAUGUGUCUAGCAUCUAUACACUGUGUUCUAGAAGUAUGUUAAUUUGGCUUAAAGAAAAACUAUAAAUUCUUUGUCUUCAUUCAGAAAUCAGUAAUUCUCAAAAGGGAAGGUAGUUUAUAACCCCUAGGAAGAUCAGUGAUUCUCAAAAGGUGGUACGGUUUAUAACCUCUAGGGGUCACAUCCGAAUCUCCUGAGGAAAAUGCUGAACUAUGCAAUCCCUUCUCAACUUUCCCCUAGAGACAGAUUCUAACAACAUUGUCUCCUAUGAAAGAUUUCAUGAUUACUGUCAUGAAUCACUAUUAUUGAUGGGAGAAAAAGUUUAUAUCAGGUAUAUUGAGAUGCAAAAGGAAAAGAAUCACUGUUAUAAGCUGAAAUUGUUGAUGGAAGUGCACAGGAAACAAAACAGCAGCAAGAUAUUACACAAUUAGCUGACAUGUAUAGUGACAUUUUUGCCAGAUUACACACAAAAAAAUAUAACUGUAGUUUUUUCAUGAGCCAAAUUUCAAUAACAGCUAUUAAAUGGUAUUUAAAAUGCAUCAUUUAUAGAAAUGACCUUUUUCAGAAGAACUGGAAAAUUUUAACUCAUAUAUACUAGCUGAAGGAAAAAAAGGUUCUUGCUUAUAUUUCAAUAAGCCCUCUCUGCAUUGAGAAAAGAACAUUGUUGACUACCUUUUGUUUCUUGGCUUGAUACUAGUUCUCUAGCUUUCUUCUUUUUUUGUUUUCUUUUUUUUAAAUACACAAUUUUUACUAAUGCAAACCUCACAUUGACUCAGAUGAAAGAGGCAACAGAAUUUCUGGAUACCGUGUACCCUUUAGAUAAUGUACCUCAACAACGAUUCAGUUUCUUUUUCUAAUUUUGCAGAUCAUUUAACAAAGUGUACAGCUGAAAAUGGUUUGUUUGUGCAUCUAGAUGAUCUGGUGGAGUUUACACUUCAGAGGCACUGGGAAUGCCAAAGAUUUAUUUGCCUCUCAUUCAUUAAGAAGAAAAAAGAAAGAAAAUGUAACUAAUUGAAGAGUCUGGAUGACAAUUAUCUGUUUGUCGCCAUGGGUUGGGCAGAUCCUGAAGAGAACCAACUUGAGUCUGACAGUCCUUCCAGAACACGGCACCCACCUCCACCAUAUAACACAGCCAAGUGAAACACUAAGGAGGCUCUGUAAGGCAUGACUCUGAAGAAGGCCACUAUCUUUUACUGCCGUGACACCAUUUCUCAGAACACAUCACAUGGCCCCUGAGUGGUCAGGAGUCCAGAGAAAAACAGUCAAGCCCUCCUUUAAUAGUAAAAUUUUUGUCUGACCCUCUCAAGUGGCUAUGUAGAUCUCUUGCAAAUUGAACCAGAAGGUCUUUGGUUCAAGUUCCUGACUUAGCAAUUUUGUAUGUUAUCUCACAUACCAUGAUCAGGUUCUUUGUGGAAGUUCUCUCUUUAAUUCUUCUUGAAAUAGGUUUGUUUUGUUUUGUUUUUUUAAUGCCUAUUUGAAAUCUGAGGAAACAAAAGCUCAGAAAGUGACUGGGUCCUUGACUUCCCAGCUCUUUACUACAGUCACUGGGGAACACAGUGACCCCAUCCCUAAUCGCUUCUUCAAGCGGUGCAAGUGACCCAGGAAUUCCCCGGCCAUUGCACAAUGAACUUUCCAUACCUUUAUUGGGAAUUCAGUUGUGGGGAGGAAAUCAAGGCUUUCAAAAACAUUAUCAGUAGACAAAAAUGAAGCCCCAUCUGCAUUUGAAUUUUCUAGUUUCUCAGUGUCAGGCAUUGAAUUGUCAUGGUUUGGCUCCCACUCGUUUUCUGCUUCAACGCUCAACAAGAAGACAUGGAAGUGCAGCAUCACCUAGAAUUCACUUGGUUGGAAAGAAAUGCAUUUCCUGUGAGUUGGAGAAGGUCCUUCCAUUCUUUGCAGGAUCUCACUCUGUCACCCAGGCUGGAG